Molecule: ribosomal RNA, 406 nt
Filed under: uncultured bacterium
Lineage: Bacteria
Description: partial 16S ribosomal RNA
Rfam family: Bacterial small subunit ribosomal RNA
Source: RNAcentral
AGUGAACGCUGGCGGUAGGCCUAACACAUGCAAGUCGAACGAGUGGCGGACGGGUGAGGUCUACAUCGGCAUCUUCUCUGUCGUCGGCGAUCACGUAGGGAAACUUACGCUACUACCGCAUACGUUCGGAUGAGCCAAUGUCGGAUUAGCUAGUUGGCGGGGUAAAGGCCCACCAAGGCGCCGAUCCGUAGCUGGUCUGAGAGGAUGAUCAGCCACACUGGAACUGAGACACGGUCAAGACUCCUACGGGAGGCAGCAGUGGGGAAUAUUGGACAAUGGGCGCAAGCCUGAUCCAGCCAUACCGCGUGGGUGAAGAAGGCCUUCGGGUUGUAAAGCCCUUUUUUUGGGAAAGCGGUACCCAAAGAAUAAGCACCGGCUAACUUCGUGCCAGCAGCCGCGGUAAUAC